CCCGCGCCGCCUCCCGGCGCUUCCGGCGGCCCCCGCGCGGCCGGGCGACACGUCACCGCGCGGUGACGUCACCGGGAGGGGCGGGAGCAAACUGGUCUCGAAGCCUAAGGGUUCAGCUAUUUAUGUUACCUUCUGUCACGAAUCCAGGUUGUGGUACUUCCAAGGUUGUGUGCAAUGUGCUAAGCUUCCUUUUGAACACUGGAGUUGAACAAGUUUUCAUGAUCUUCCUUGGAUCUGGACUUUUUUUUUAUUUCUUUAUCUGCCUUCAUUAUGAAAUUGUGACAGUUUUGGUUAGGGUGGGACAAAAAAGUUCUGCAUUCAGUGAAGUUUGUCAGUUUUCUGAUAUGACUUGUAUGGGACAGGUCAUAUUUUUUAUCUUCUACUUAAUGAGUUUGAGCAGUUCUUUCUAAACUGUUCAUGGUAGUUAAUAGGAAAUGUGGAGAAGGGCUCAACUAAAAGUCUAAAUCAGAGAAAGUCAACUCUUAACCCCUUUAGAAUCAAUAGAGAGUAGUGGGAACUUCAGGUUGUUAAUUUCUUACUAAAAUAAGUGUCUAAGAUCUGAAGCUUUUCAAACAUGGAGAGGAGAGGCAAAUCAACUUUCAGGAAAAAGAGAGAGAGUAUCUUCUGUCUCUUGUCCAUUAGGAAAUGACCAAUUAACAGUGCCCCUGAUGCCUUCUUUAUUCAUGUUCUUGGGACACAGGAAUAAAAAUACCUUUUAGGCCUUACUGAUAUAACUAGAAAACACCCAUACAGGUAACUGCUCACAGCAUGAAGGAGCUGGAAUGCACAUCCAGUAGCAAUGGGUAAACUUUUUCUAAUGUUUUAGCAUCUGCCUUCAUGUUUACACAGAAGCAAUUUCAGAGAAUAUCUUCAGAACUAAAAUGACUAAAGAGAGUCUCAGAAGAGUAUUUGGUUCCUAAGAUGUGUUCCUAGGGGGAUUGUCUGUGCUAACACCAGCAGUGUUCCUCUUCCCCUGGAAUUAGUGUCUGUGAUCAUUCAAUACUGAAAGAUUCCAUGUCACUCCAGAACAAGCCUCUCUAUCUUGGUAUCUCUGUAAUCUGUAAAAAGAGACAAGCUCAAGAAACACGAUGCAAAAAAUUAGGUUCAUAGAAUCAUAGAACGGGUUGGGUUAGCAGGGACCUUACAAGUCACCUUGUAUGUUGCUAAUGGCUUCUGAACUAUAAAGGCUUGAGGUAGACGUGACACGUAUAAAGAGUUACUGGAGAGAGAUUGCAGUAAACCACAAACUAUGGCAGUGGGUGUUGUUCCUUAAGGUAGGGUGGUUGCCUUGUCCUGAGAGUUUUAAGCUGAAAAGAAUGAGUGGUGUACUUCUUAAAUGCUAUCAACUUCCCUUUUUUACAUCUAACUGAUCUCACAGCCUGAAAACCUCACAUUGAAAUAAAUGGGCUAGUGAAAAUUUAAAAUAUAUUACAUUAUGGAAGAAAUGAAAAGCUUAAAUGCC
Molecule: long non-coding RNA, 1462 nt
Organism: Corvus hawaiiensis (hawaiian crow)
Lineage: Eukaryota; Metazoa; Chordata; Aves; Passeriformes; Corvidae
Exons: 3
Source: RefSeq, a predicted model, not a curated record